GGCUCAGUGGUCUAGUGGUUAAGCGCUUGCGCGCGAAACUGAAAGGUCGUGGGUUCGAAUCUCGCGAGGC
This 70-nucleotide transfer RNA is filed under the name Schistosoma mansoni. Lineage: Eukaryota; Metazoa; Platyhelminthes; Trematoda; Strigeidida; Schistosomatidae. The record is from RNAcentral.